CGCGGGCGGAGAAGUCCCACCCUUCUCUGGUUUGACUGACUGUUUUCCCUUUGCAUCUGUGUAGCAUUGUACGCUAUCUGAUUGACUCCCCUGGCGUGGCUAACAUCUCACUGACAGGUGGCUAAGUGGGGAUAAGUGGGCUAAAGUCGGUGGCCGACCAGGAAUUGUUGGACGCGAAGCGCCAUCGUGUGGCCAAAGUUAUGUAUACCUACAGAUCCUAGUAAGGAUUCACCGCAGUCCGUGUCGGGCAUCUCUGAUCACUCUGCUCGGCAUUCGCGUCUCAUGAAUGAAUUUAAGCUCUGAGUUGCUUCGAUCCUGCCUCACAGCCUCCGGCACAGAGCAUGCGCAAUACAGCCUGUCUUAGUUAGGGUUUUAUUUCUGUGAACAGACACCAUGACCAAGGCAAGUCUUAUAAA
Molecule: long non-coding RNA, 416 nt
Organism: Mus musculus (house mouse)
Lineage: Eukaryota; Metazoa; Chordata; Mammalia; Rodentia; Muridae
Product: predicted gene, 41172
Exons: 3
Source: RefSeq, a predicted model, not a curated record